CUCCUCCUACGAACCAAAUAAGUCCCAGGAUUUACCAUCUCGGUGGUAAUGGCUUGUGCCUUUAUAGCAUGCUUCGGUGGACAAAAAUCAUAUGGGGAAUUCACUUAAGUCAGCAUUACAUUGAACUCUUCUCUUAAAUUCAACUUUUUACCAAGAGACGUGUCGAUUUAUUUUCUCUUUUUACUCUUGGAAUAAUAGCUGGUCUCAUGGUACGG
This 215-nucleotide long non-coding RNA is filed under the name Elaeis guineensis (African oil palm). Its description in RNAcentral is "long non-coding RNA (EGUI_LNC011404)". The record is from RNAcentral. Lineage: Eukaryota; Viridiplantae; Streptophyta; Magnoliopsida; Arecales; Arecaceae.